RNAcentral lists this ribosomal RNA (834 nucleotides) under Triticum aestivum (bread wheat). RNAcentral describes it as "partial small subunit ribosomal RNA". The record is from RNAcentral. Lineage: Eukaryota; Viridiplantae; Streptophyta; Magnoliopsida; Poales; Poaceae.
AUGCAGAGGGACCGAGGCGUCUCGGCGGCGGCUGGGGGCGCCGGCGAAAGGAAGCGGAUAGGCGAGGCGAUGGACAGGUCCUCCCCGUCGACGUCCUGGGGGUUCUCCGGCGGCCGCGAGAGGGACCGGAUCGCCGCCGGGAAGCAGCCGGAGGUGCCCCGCUCCGGCGGCGGAUCCACCGCCAUGUCCAAGGGCAAGUUGUCCGAUGGAGAAUCGGAUACUGACAGUGAAGAAUCAGAUCUCAGUGGUUCUGAUGGAGAGGAUACAUCGUGGAUUUCAUGGUUCUGUAGCUUGCGAGGCAAUGAGUUUUUCUGUGAAGUUGAUGACGAUUACAUACAAGACGAUUUCAAUCUCUGUGGGCUAAGCGGUCAAGUUCCAUAUUAUGAAUAUGCUCUUGAUCUGAUAUUGGAUGUCGAGUCUUCACAUGGUGAUAUGUUCACAGAAGAGCAGAAUGAACUUAUUGAAUCAGCUGCUGAGAUGCUUUAUGGAUUGAUUCAUGUUCGAUAUAUUCUUACAAGUAAAGGGUUGGCUGCAAUGUUGGAUAAAUACAAGAAUUAUGACUUUGGCAGAUGUCCAAGAGUGCACUGCAGCGGCCAGCCAUGCCUUCCAGUUGGCCAGUCGGACAUUCCCCGCUCUAGUAAUGUCAAAAUUUACUGCCCAAAGUGUGAAGAUCUCUACUAUCCGAGAUCCAAAUAUCAAAGCAACAUUGAUGGAGCUUACUUCGGGACAACGUUUCCUCACUUGUUUCUGAUGACGUACCCACAUUUGAAGCCCCAGAAACCGUCACAGCAGUACGUCCCCAAGGUUUUUGGCUUCAAACUUCAUAAGCCAUAA